Molecule: long non-coding RNA, 1306 nt
Filed under: Brassica rapa (field mustard)
Lineage: Eukaryota; Viridiplantae; Streptophyta; Magnoliopsida; Brassicales; Brassicaceae
Description: long non-coding RNA (BRAP_LNC006082)
Source: RNAcentral
UAUGGUUAGGUUUAGGUAGGGUUUUAGGGUUAGGUUUAGGAAGGGUUUAGGGUUAACAGGGUUUAAGGUUAGGUAGGGUUUUAAGAAGGGUUUAGGGUUAACAGGGUUUAGUGUUAGGUAGGGUUAGGUAGGGUUAGGCAGGGUUAGGCAGGGCUUAGGGUUAGGAAGGGUUUAGGAUUAAAAAGGGUUUAGGAUUAAGUAGGGUUUAGGGUUAAACAUGGUUUAGGGUAGGUAGGGUUAGGUAGAGUUUAGGGUUAGGUUUAGGUAGGGUUAGGCUUAGGAAGGGUUUAGGGUUAGCAGGGUUUAGGGUUAGGUAGGGUUUAGGGUUAGAAAGUGUUUAGGAUUAGGUAGGGUUUUUAGGGUUAGGCAGGGUUUAGGGUUAAGUAGGGUUUAGGGUUAAAUAGGGUUUAGGGUAAGGUAGAGUUUAGGGUUAGGUAGAGUUUAGGGUUAAGUAGGGUUUAGGGUUGGUAAGGAUUAGGGUUAGGUAGGGUUUAGGGUUGGUAGGGAUUAGGGUUAGAUAGGGUUUAGGAUUAGUAAGGUUUAGGGAUAGGUAGGGUUUAGGGUUAGGUAGGGUUUAGGGUUAGGUAGGGUUUAGAAUUAGGUAGGGUUAGUAGGGUUUAGGGUUAGGUAGGGUUUAGGGUUAGUAGGAUUUAGGGUUAGGUUGGGUUUAGGGCUAGAAAGGGUUUAGGGUUAGAAAAGUUUUAAGGAUAGGUAGGGUUUAGGGUUAUGUAGGGUUAGGGUUAGGUAGGGUUUAGAAUUAGGCAGGAUUUAGGGUUAGAAAGGGUUUAGGGUUAGGUAGGUUUUAGAAUUAGGUAGGGUUUAGGGUUAGCAGGAUUUAGGGUUAGAAAGGGUCUAGGGUUAGGUAGGGUUUAGGGUUACGCAGGGUUUAGGGUUAGGCAGGGUUUAAGGUUAGGUCAUGUUUAGGGUUAGAAGGGGUUUAAGGUUUAGAAUUAGGCAGGGUUUAGGGUUAGAAAGGGUUUAGGGUUAGCAGGGUUUAGGGUUAGAAAGGGUUUAGUGUUAGGUAGGGUUUAGGGUUACGCAUGAUUUAGGGUUAGAUCAGGUUUAGGGUUAAGCAGGGUUUAGGGUUAGGUUUAGAGUUAGAAGGGGUUUAAGGUUAGGUAGGGUUUAGGGUUAGUAGGGUUUAGAGUAGGCAGGGUUUAGGGUUAGGUAGGGUUUAGGGUUAGAUAGGGUUUAGAAAUAGGUAGGGUUUAGGGUUAGUAGGGUUUAAGGUUAGGUAGGGUUUAGAGUUAGAUAGGGUUUAUGGCUAGAAAGGGUUUAGGGUUAGGUAGGGUUUAGGGUUAGAUAG